This 271-nucleotide ribosomal RNA is filed under the name uncultured archaeon. Its description in RNAcentral is "partial 16S ribosomal RNA". It matches the Rfam family "Archaeal small subunit ribosomal RNA", at positions 477 to 747 of the family's 1478-position model. The record is from RNAcentral.
CAGCGCCACGAGUGGUAACCGCGAUUAUUGGGCCUAAAGCGUCCGUAGCCGGAUUGAUAAAUCCUUUGUGAAAUUGUGCGGCUCAACCGAACAACGUGCAAGGGACACUGUUAAUCUCGAGACCGGGAGGAGUCAGAAGUAUUCCUGAGGGAGCGGUAAAAUGUUAUAAUCUCAGGAGGACUACCUGUGGCGAAGGCGUCUGACCAGAACGGAUCUGACGGUGAGGGACGAAAGCUAGGGGAGCGAACCGGAUUAGAUACCCGAGUAGUCC